This 404-nucleotide ribosomal RNA is filed under the name uncultured prokaryote. RNAcentral describes it as "bacterial SSU rRNA". It matches the Rfam family "Bacterial small subunit ribosomal RNA", at positions 355 to 776 of the family's 1533-position model. RNAcentral also lists the same sequence under 1 other name. The record is from RNAcentral.
UGGGGAAUCUUGCACAAUGGGGGAAACCCAGAUGCAGCGACGCCGCGUGAGCGAUGAAGCCCUUCGGGGUGUAAAGCUCUUUCGGCAGGAACGAUAAUGACGGUACCUGAAGAAGAAGCUGCGGCUAACUACGUGCCAGCAGCCGCGGUAAUACGUAGGCAGCGAGCGUUGUUCGGAGUUACUGGGCGUAAAGAGUAUGUAGGCGGUUUUGCAAGUUUGGUGUGAAAUCUCCCGGCUUAACUGGGAGGGUGCGCCGAAAACUGCAAGGCUAGAGUGUGGGAGAGGAAAGCGGAAUUCCUGGUGUAGCGGUGAAAUGCGUAGAUAUCAGGAGGAACACCGGCGGUGUAGACGGCUUUCUGGACCAUUACUGACGCUGAGAUACGAAAGCGUGGGGAGCAAACAGG